GGUUAUGAGAUAAGUAAAUUCUGAGGUUCAAAUGCAAUGUGUGGUAACUAUGGUUAGUAAUAGUGUAUCAUAUAUUUGAAAUUUUCUGAGAAAGUAUAUCUUAAAUGGUCUCAAAACCACACACCCACAAGAGAUUAUGAUGUGAAGUGAUGAAUGUGUUAAUAAAUGUAAUUGUGAUAAUUAUUCCACAAUGUAGACAUAUAUCAAAUCAUCACAGUGUACAAUUAAAUAUAUUAAAUUUUAUUUCAGUCAUUCCUCAAUAAAGCUGAAAAAAAAAGAAUGAAUGAGUCAGUUGACUGAUGAGAGGAAUGGAGGAUCUGAAUGAGAUCAAGAGCCUCUGCUCACCCUCAUGGAACACUAUCUAGCUGCUGCCACUAUCAAACAUCCAAGUCUCCAGGAAUAAAGACCAAAUCUGAGUUUUUUAUGUGGUAUCAUAUUUCAAGGAGAACAAUUUUGGUGGCAAAUUGACAAUAAUGGGCCCCAUGAAAGGGCAACAAUUUAUCUUCAGCUAAAUCAACAUGAAUUUUAAGUAUGAACUUGCCUUUCCUAGAAGACCCUGCCAGCACCAUCAACUGAGGAUGUAUAGAGUCUGAUCUCCAACAAAGGACCCCAUAUAACAUCAUAUUGAUCCAAACGAUACUGUACAGAAAACAAAUAUGGCAGUGGGCACAUGUCACUGCAUCCAUUGAACAUUUUUGCAUAAUGCUCCUCUCAGUUGUCCUGAUAGAAUAUGGAAGAAUGCAGUCAGGGGCCAGCUUAGAGCUGAUAAAUAAUGAGGAUGGGACCUUAUCCUUCACGAUGCAGUAUAUAACCAAAAUAAACAACCAUAAUACUGAACUCUGUCUUUAAUAUAUAGAACAAGAACCAAGGAAUGGAAACAGGAGUGAUCUUACUACCAUCACUCCCACUGACUUGGGGGAAUUUGUGCUUCCCAUACCUGGGAAGUGCUUUCACUAGCAUUAUAUAAUACUAAAUUUCAGUGGUACCUGG
This 990-nucleotide long non-coding RNA is filed under the name Marmota monax (woodchuck). The record is from RNAcentral. Lineage: Eukaryota; Metazoa; Chordata; Mammalia; Rodentia; Sciuridae.